Molecule: long non-coding RNA, 195 nt
Filed under: Canis lupus dingo (dingo)
Lineage: Eukaryota; Metazoa; Chordata; Mammalia; Carnivora; Canidae
Description: lncRNA (ENSCAFG00020013579.1)
Source: RNAcentral
AAAUAGCCAGUCUCCACCAGUCCUGUGUACUGUUCAAAGAAAUGUCAGCCAUCGUGGGAAGUCAGAGACACAGGUUGUGCCCGAGGAGCAAGCAUAGGGGCUUUCCUUCGAAUUCUGGACGGCCUACGAAUCGUCAACUCACCAACGUGCCUAGUCAGUACAUGAAUUCACUUGGGAGCUUGAAAAUCACCUGAA